AGAGUUUGAUUAUGGCUCAGGAUGAACGCUGGCGGCGUGCUUAACACAUGCAAGUCGAACGAAGCACUUUAUUUGAUUUCCUUCGGGACUGAUUAUUUUGUGACUGAGUGGCGGACGGGUGAGUAACGCGUGGGUAACCUGCCUUGUACAGGGGGAUAACAGUUGGAAACGGCUGCUAAUACCGCAUAAGCGCACAGCAUCGCAUGAUGCAGUGUGAAAAACUCCGGUGGUAUAAGAUGGACCCGCGUUGGAUUAGCUAGUUGGUGAGGUAACGGCCCACCAAGGCGACGAUCCAUAGCCGACCUGAGAGGGUGACCGGCCACAUUGGGACUGAGACACGGCCCAA
Molecule: ribosomal RNA, 346 nt
Filed under: uncultured bacterium
Lineage: Bacteria
Description: bacterial SSU rRNA
Rfam family: Bacterial small subunit ribosomal RNA
Source: RNAcentral